RNAcentral lists this ribosomal RNA (597 nucleotides) under Hypomyces semicircularis. RNAcentral's name for it is "eukaryotic LSU rRNA". It matches the Rfam family "Eukaryotic large subunit ribosomal RNA", at positions 38 to 658 of the family's 3401-position model. Lineage: Eukaryota; Fungi; Ascomycota; Sordariomycetes; Hypocreales; Hypocreaceae. The record is from RNAcentral.
GCAUAUCAAUAAGCGGAGGAAAAGAAACCAACAGGGAUUGCCCCAGUAACGGCGAGUGAAGCGGCAACAGCUCAAAUUUGAAAUCUGGCCCCUCGGGCCCGAGUUGUAAUUUGUAGAGGAUGCUUUUGGCAAGGUGCCGCCCGAGUUCCCUGGAACGGGACGCCGCAGAGGGUGAGAGCCCCGUCUGGCUGGCCACCGAGCCUCUGUAAAGCUCCUUCGACGAGUCGAGUAGUUUGGGAAUGCUGCUCAAAAUGGGAGGUAUAUGUCUUCUAAAGCUAAAUAUUGGCCAGAGACCGAUAGCGCACAAGUAGAGUGAUCGAAAGAUGAAAAGCACUUUGAAAAGAGGGUUAAACAGUACGUGAAAUUGUUGAAAGGGAAGCGCUCAUGACCAGACUUGGGCUUGGCGGAUCAUCCGGCGUUCUCGCCGGUGCACUCCGCCUCGUCCAGGCCAGCAUCAGCUCGCGCCGGGGGACAAAGGCUUCGGGAAUGUGGCUCCUCCGGGAGUGUUAUAGCCCGUUGCGUAAUACCCUGGGGCGGGCUGAGGUUCGCGCAUCUGCAAGGAUGCUGGCGUAAUGGUCAUCAGCGACCCGUCUUGAA